RNAcentral lists this ribosomal RNA (459 nucleotides) under Lactobacillus crispatus. Its description in RNAcentral is "bacterial SSU rRNA". Lineage: Bacteria; Bacillati; Bacillota; Bacilli; Lactobacillales; Lactobacillaceae. The record is from RNAcentral.
ACGCGUUGGGAGCUCUCCCAUAUGGUCGACCUGCAGGCGGCCGCGAAUUCACUAGUGAUUGGAAACAGAUGCUAAUACCGGAUAAGAAAGCAGAUCGCAUGAUCAGCUUUUAAAAGGCGGCGUAAGCUGUCGCUAUGGGAUGGCCCCGCGGUGCAUUAGCUAGUUGGUAAGGUAAAGGCUUACCAAGGCGAUGAUGCAUAGCCGAGUUGAGAGACUGAUCGGCCACAUUGGGACUGAGACACGGCCCAAACUCCUACGGGAGGCAGCAGUAGGGAAUCUUCCACAAUGGACGCAAGUCUGAUGGAGCAACGCCGCGUGAGUGAAGAAGGUUUUCGGACCGUAAAGCUCUGUUGUUGGUGAAGAAGGAUAGAGGUAGUAACUGGCCUUUAUUUGACGGUAAUCAMCYAGAAAGUCACGGCUAACUACGUGCCAGCAGCCGCGGUAAUACGAUAAUCGAAU